RNAcentral lists this long non-coding RNA (2649 nucleotides) under Homo sapiens (human). RNAcentral's name for it is "HSALNT0333642". Lineage: Eukaryota; Metazoa; Chordata; Mammalia; Primates; Hominidae. The record is from RNAcentral.
ACGCUUUUGCCUUCUCAUCUGGGUCUGUAGGUCCAGCCUCUGAAGUCCUUUGUUUUGCGGGGUCGAGGGCAGCCGCCAGGCUGUGGGGGGCUUUGUGGAUGGGCGGCAGGAGAGGCGCUCAGAAGCCAGAGGUUUUGGAUGCUCCCUCCCCUACCAGAGCUGCUGCCCCGACUCUUUCUAGCUUCAACCUGUCUCCCUUGGGUCUACAGGUCGGCUGCCGGGAAAAAGGGGAUUUGAAGGAAUGGGAAUGGGGACCCGGCCGCUCUGGCAAAGUGGGGGCGGGUCUGCGGGGGUGGCCGAACCCCAGCGGUUGCCAGAGGGCGUGGUGGCUGCCCAGACUCCAGUUCGGUGCUCCCAGGCUCCCUCUGGCUUUCUUUCCCAAACUCAGCCCUGUAGCUUGGGAGACACUGACAGACUGCAUGCCAUAUGUAGAAAAAGGCUGACUUUUAUUUUCCUGCAGAGCAUCUUCCUCGGGAGAGCAGGGAGCCCCAAGUCAUCGAGUUAAGAGCAGGAGAAUCCCCUUGACUAGGUUGGGGUCUGAGCCCAGAGGCAGGGCCUAAGGAGGUGCAGAGACUAGGGCCGGGAGUGGUGAGGCAAGGUUGGGGCCUGGAGGGACAGCUAUGACCGUUGAACUUGCAGACCCUGGUCCACCUUCUUGGAGUGGAAGCCAGCGGUGCAGAAGGGGACCCCUGAGGCGCAGAGGCAAGUAACAGUGCCAGGGGAGUGGUCAGGGCAGAUCCUUUCCUUCUCAGGAGGCUGUUGAGGGGGAGAGUGUCAUGCUCUAAACAGUGAAGGGACAGAUGACUUCCAUACCCCACUCUUCCUUGCUGGUGAGAAGUGGACCUUGGAGUUCAGUGGCUGAAACUCAGAAUUUAGGGUAUGGAGCUGGACCCAGAGAAUAAAGUCUCAAGUAGUAGAAGGGGCAUCUCCUUCAGUCCAUGGAUUUGGGCCUCUGGCAUGAAGCAGCCAGGGCCUGGAUGUUAAGGAUUUAGAAUUCAGUGGGAGAGGAAGAACAGGGCUUGUAACCAGAGUGAGCUCCUCACUCUGCCUCCCCAUCCUGGGGCCGAGAGAGCAGGUGGAGUUUUCUUUGUAGCUGGGCCCGGAGGUAGCGGAGGUCUUGCUGAUCAAGCCCGUGAGCCAGGCCCAGGUAGAGGGUAAGGAGGAAAGCAAGGAGGAGACGGUCCGUGCCCAGGGUAGGCACCACCCACAGCACUGUCAGCAGCUCCACACACACUGGGUGGCGCAGGUGGGAGAAGAGUCUGAGAGCCCGGGGAGACUUCAGGGCCAGAGGCUCGCCCAGCCCCAGCACAUGGUAGUAUACCUAAGAGAGGGAGAAGAGCUUAGAAAUGGAGUCAAGCCCUUUUCUCAUCUUGGGCACUUCUUUCCUCCUCUUCCAGGCACCACCCUUCUAGAACUCAGGCCCAGGAACCCCCCUUCUGAGACUUGGAUCCCUGAUCCUGACUUCUGAUCCAUGUACCUUCCCCAGGCCCAGGAGGCCCAUGCUUGCUGCCCUUACGAGGGAAAGUCAAAGGGAAGGGCCACGAGGGAGAAGCAGGGAGACAGUAGAAGAGCAUGGGAGGAGGGAAACCCUUGAAAGGGAACGAGGAGUUCUAAAAUGGGUCAGAGGUCAUAGGUAGGGAUCUCGGAGCCUCACCUGUUUGAGGCCCAUGAGCUCAGCAUAGUCAAAGACGAGAAGGAUGCUAAAGAUGAGGAGCCAGGAGAUGACAUGGAGCACAAAGCAGAGGAGCGGCACCCAGGUGGCCCAUGGCUCAGCCCGAGCCUCCCACAACACAGGGCCUUUGGGUAUGGGCUCCCAGUACCGCAUCACCAGCUGUGGAAGGAUAAGGGGCUGGGUAUCCCAGUGGCCUAGUCUGCCCGACCUUGGGAGACCCAGACCCAGAUCUGCCCCCACCACAGGCUAGCCUGCAACUCUCCCCCACCUCUCUCCUAAGCAUCACCACCAAAUAUUCACCAUGUGGAGGGUGCGUGCUGGGUGAGGUCCCAAAGAUGUAAGGAUGGCCUGUCUCUACCCUGAGAACUUAUAGAAUAGAUGGGGUGACCUGAUAGCUACGCAAAGUAGUAGCCUGUGCCAACCACCCAGUGAAAAGACAGACAAGGCCUUCUCUUCAGACCUAGGGAAGUGGUUUUGAAGAAAGGGUAGGACUGAAGAGAAGGGAUCUCAAGCAGGACAUAAACAAAGUUGCAGAGGUGAGAAGCAUAUCUUGUGCUUAGGGAAGGACAAGUACACCCUUCUUGAUAAAAAGUAGGAUAUGUGCUGUGGAGGAAUGGAAGCUGAGAUUAGUUCCUCAAUUCUCCUCCUGAACCCAUAUUUUGCCCCUCCAAUCCACGGCACCCCUCCCACACUUGGUCUCCCUUGGGGACUCAACUGCCAGGAUUUCAUACCUGCAAGGCCAGGGCCUCAUACCUGCAAGGCCAGGGCAGUGCAGGCCACAUACAGUGACCUCUGAAGGACCCCAAAGUACCGGGAUGUCCAUGCCUUCACUCUUUCAGCUGCCAUGAGGCUGUGCUGCCCAACAAAUAGAAGCAGGAGCCCCAGAUCCCAUGCCAGGGGGGCAAGGAUGCUGCGGUCCUGCAGGGCAGCCAGCCAUCCCUGGCGGGCAUCUACAGGAAGUUGAGGGAAAAAGAGAC